RNAcentral lists this ribosomal RNA (561 nucleotides) under uncultured bacterium. RNAcentral's name for it is "bacterial SSU rRNA". It matches the Rfam family "Bacterial small subunit ribosomal RNA", at positions 153 to 692 of the family's 1533-position model. The record is from RNAcentral.
GAAAGGUGUGCUAAUACCGGAUACGUCUAAGUUAAUAUCUUUUUUUUAGAGAAAGGUGGCCUCUGAUUCAAGCUACUGUGCGGGGAGGAGCUUGCGUACCAUUAGCUAGUUGGUAGGGUAACGGCCUACCAAGGCGACGAUGGUUAGCGGGUCUGAGAGGAUGAUCCGCCACACUGGAACUGAAACACGGACCAGACUCCUACGGGAGGCAGCAGUGAGGAAUAUUGCGCAAUGGGGGCAACCCUGACGCAGCGACGCCGCGUGGAUGAUGAAGGCCUUCGGGUUGUAAAAUCCUGUCAGAUGGGAAGAAGUGCUAUAUGGUUAAUAUCUGUAUAGUUUGACGGUACCAUCAAAGGAAGCACCGGCUAACUCCGUGCCAGCAGCCGCGGUAAUACGGAGGGUGCAAGCGUUGUUCGGAAUUACUGGGCGUAAAGCGCGCGUAGGCGGCUAUGUAAGUCAGAUGUGAAAGCCCGCGGCUCAACCGUGGAAGUGCAUUUGAAACUGUAUAGCUUGAGUACUGGAGGGGGUAGUGGAAUUCCCGGUGUAGAGGUGAAAUUCGUA